This is a long non-coding RNA of Gasterosteus aculeatus aculeatus (three-spined stickleback), 8012 nucleotides long. Lineage: Eukaryota; Metazoa; Chordata; Actinopteri; Perciformes; Gasterosteidae. The record is from Ensembl.
GUGUGUGUGUGUGUGUGUGUGUGUGUGUGUAACGGAGGAGGGGGCUCGCUCGCCGUAUCGCUCCCUCCAUCCAUCCGUCCAUCCACUCCUCCUCCACCUCUUCUUCGUUGGUGGUGUGCCGGUUGGAAGGACGCCCCCCCCCCGCGCUUUGACACACUUGCACACACGCAGCAACGCACACCUCCGCUAUGUGUCACUACCCGUUGCAGCUGCGUCUCCCCGUCGCUCCAUCUACCUACGCUUGCUCUUUUCCCACCUUUUUUUUGUUUUCUUUGCCGUCUGUCAGUCUUUGUCCCUCCUUGUUCUCAUCCCCACGCCAUCACCACGCCAUCACCGCUCCUCUGUUUCACAGGAGAAAAAGACCAACUAACGCUCUGGCCGACCAAAGUGAGAAAGAGAAGGAGGAGGAAAGAGAGAAAAGUUGAAGAGGAGAAGAAGGCGAGAAGCUGGAGAGUGCGUCUGGAGCGCGGCGGCUCCUCCUCACGCCUUGAGCCCGACUCUACUUUGAUGGAAUACCCCGGGACAGCGGAGGGCAGAAGGAGAGAGGAGGAGGAGGAGGAGAAGAAAAGGUGAAGGUGAAGGUGGACCGGGAGAAGAAACAGAGAGUGAGAGCCUCAGGAAGGGCUCCGUUUGGGAUUCUUUUCUUCUCUGAUUGCAAAACUGCUCUCCGGACUAGAAUCUCCUCUCUCCGUUUUUCUAUUUUCUAUUCUAAUUAAUACCCCCUUAUGCGAUCCCUCAAAGAUCCUCUCUCUCUCUCUUUGACUCUGCUUCUCUCCACCACGCUCUCUGCUUUCUCCCCCCUCGCUCCAUCUGUCUGCCUUUGAGAAGCAAAUAAUUGGAUGUGGAGUUUGGCUUCUUCGUGGCUGAGCCGGAGGAUCGAGGCUGUACGGCACUUCACACACACCAUUAUGCGCAUGCAUACACUGGGAGCUCAGGGUGUGCGUAUGCGUGUGUGAUUGUGAGUGAAUGCCGGAGUGUGUGUGUGUGUGUGUGUGUGUGUGAACCUCCUUCUUUGCUGAUGUUUUGUGUCAUUUUUAAAGGGUACGGCUGGUGUGAGUUCUCAUUUAAUCCCGUGAAAAGACCAAACCAACUUCAUGUUUCGGCCCUCUCCAAUAUCUUAGUCUAAGAUGUAAAUUUACAUUUAAAAAAAGACUAAAUGAUGCACGACAUCAUUUAGUCUUUUGGGUAAACCCCUUUGAACAAUGAGUAAACAACGCUUUUAUUGGACUAUUGUCAGUCAUCGAUGAAAAACUUCUAAUUACCCUGAUGAGUUUGCAGUAAUUGUGGGAUUUAGUCAAAAUAAACAAUGGAGGAACGUGUCGUUGUUGUUUGUAAUGGCUUUUGGGUCACAAUGGAACUCAGUGUCACAAAGAAAUAAGACUUUAGACACACCAGACGCACUUCAGUGUUCUUAGUGUUAUCUUAAACGUCACUUUGCUUCUGUUCGUUUUCAUCUCUAAAGUCAAGUGUGAUCUUCUAAAGCAGCGUCAUGCUCUUCACUUUGUCCGCGUCAAGCUGUUGGGGCUCAAUUAUCAACAAAAAAUGAUGUGACAAGGCAAGACAUUGUUCUCCCAGCGCGAGACGAAACUGGAAGAAAGCGAAAAGGAGCAGAAGAGCGAGAGAGAGAGAGAGAUGCUCGACUGUGUGAGAGACCUUUGAAGAGAUUGGUGGCAGAGGUAUUUCCCCGGAGAGAGAGAGAGAGAGAGAGAGCGAUGAAGAGGACGAGGAGGAGGAGGAGGAUCGAGGAGCGCCUGAGACGGGAAGACAGGAGGUUGUGUUGUAAUGCUGCAGGCUGGCUGAUCCACACUGAGAGGAGACGUGGAAGCCGCUCACUUUUUCUGCUCCGAGGACAGGACGCCAAGUCUCUGGUGGCGACCAAGAGACCCUCCAGAGCCGCACGCACACACACACACACACACACACACACACACACACACGCACGCACGCACGCACACACACACACGGAACAAGAAGGGUCUCCGCUUCACAUUUUCUUCUUCUUUUCUUCUUCUACUGUAUUUCAUUAUUCACUAGGUCUCUUUUUUUCCCUCCCUCUCUCUCUCUCCUCUCCACCACCUCCUGGGCCAACCACAUCUCCCUCCUCCUCCUCCUCCUCCUCCUCCUCCUCCUCCCACUACUACUACCGCUGCUCAGCUCCAUCCAGUUCAGUCCCAUUGUCCUCACGCACACACACCUUGCGCACUCACGUGUGCGCGUGUCCUCCGGAGUGCAGCUGCAGCGGAGCGCCGGGUCCCGGUCCGAGGAACAUGUGCAGGAAUCCGGGACGAACUGGCGGUUUUUAUAUCCACGGGGUGGUAAAGAGAGAGAGCGGAGGUCGGGUACGAAGGCACGGAGACAGGGAAUGAAGAGCUGGAGACCAUCGGUGUCUCACUCCGUCCAAUGAGGGAAACCACUUGUGGCCACGCAGAUCAAACUUGCAGGAUUGUCUUUGUGGAUCCGCUGCGGCGUCUGAUAGGCCAUGCCCUUCACCUGCGCCUGCUUCUGUGGCCUGAACAGCUUUUACCGUGGACUGGGAAAGAAGAAAAGGGAAAAAGUGGAGGAGGAGAAGGAGGAGGAAGAGGGUGACCGAUGGAGGGAUCAGGAGACAAAGGUGUGACAGCGCUGCUGUCCUCACCUUCAUCAGGGUAUUAUCCUUUAACAGACUGCAAUGUACAGCCCUGGGUUGUAUGCAUUAAGAUACUUUAACAGGGAUUGUUAGGGCGCCUCAUCGGGGUACAAGCUUUUUAUCGUUUAUAACAGAGAAAGGUUUUUGUCACAUAGGUUUCAGGAUUGACAUGUUUUGCUACUUUUUGAGCUUUAUAAACUCAACAAUGCUGUCUCAAGCCAUAUUCUUCAAGAAACCAAACCCCUAUUAACUCAAGCUCAGUGCCCUUAACCGUGCUACCUGCGCUCGAAUUUUCCCUUGGCAGCGGACCGUUUGAUCCAUUUCUCGCCAGUGGACUGUAUCAGGUCCCCCUCUUUCUCCCCCCAAAUCAUCUCCCCACCUAGUUGCUUUUGUUAGACUUUGCAGUAACUUCAGCCAAGAAGAAGAAGUGUACAGUUUUUUUCCAAAGUCACACUGGAGGGCCGGGAGCCUCAUCUUGGCUUUCACGCCUGAGCUGGGCCCGAUUGAAAGCAGAGCAGCUGUCCAAUCAGCGGCUUAGCUGAAGUGUGAAGAUAGGAGUCAAGGGGUCAGGAUGAGCAACAGGGCUUUACGAGACAUCCCUCCUCUGAUGCCAUAGCAUCUCAGUCUCAUCAAUAGGGAGACAAGUAAUUACAAAAUACACUCACACACACAAUGACGCGGGCCCAUCCAUUAAUGUCCCGCCCGGUGGGAGUGGAGUGUCGCUCCGUAAAUGCCACCGCCGUGCGCUUCUAGCUGCCAGCCGCGUGGCAGUGCGCGACUCCGCGUGCUCGUCUGUCUCCUCGACUGCAACAAUAGCCUUUGAAAGCCUGAAACAGUGGCCAACAGAUCUAUUCAGCUGCCACGGAACUGGCUUUUCACGAUUGCCCAUCGAGCCACAAACACACACGCAGGUCUCAUUAGGCGCAUGCCAUUAUGCGUGGCACGUCCGGUCGGGCGGCAGAGAUGUAAUUAACCUUUUCCUGCAGGAAACAGAUGCCUUACGCACACACCGCACACACACACACACACACACACACACACACGCGCGCGUCUGCUGUCAGGGAAACAAAGCCGACGUCACCGUGUCACAGAGAAACAAAGCCCCAAAAGAGCCGCCUGGCACUCUCUGAUAAUCCCCCUCACCCAUAUUUACAAUCAGGGCUUAGAAUACGCCUCGCCGCCGCCGUCUCCUUCCACUGCCGCACUCAGUUACCAGCACCACCACCAUCCGUGCCUCCACCCAUCCAUCUUCUUUCCCUCCUAUCUGUCCACCUUCCAUCACAUUCACCCUUUACCUCCCUCGAUCUCUUCCCCUCAUCCAUCUUUUACAUCCCAGCUGCAAAACUCCUUUGCGGGGAUUUGGUUUAUCGUCAGUGUGUCGUACGCGGCCUUGCACGCCAUCAACCGCGGAUUAUCGCCCACCCACACGCUGACUCUCUUCAUCCCCGAACAACAGGAAUUUAUUUAGGCGGACCAGAAGAAAACUGCUUCACGACAGAUUAAUGGACGGCCCCGAUAGCGUCAGCGGGUGUGUUUCUGUGCUUCUGUGUGUUUACUCAUUUCCCAGCUGCAAUCGGCGAGACGAGACAAAGCUGAAGACAUUUCACAGUGCGGAGCACCUAUUAUGAUUCACGGUGUUACGACGCGGCCCUAAUGAGAAAAAGAGAGAAUGGGAAGAGGGGCUGUAAAGGGAUAGACGAGGAAGAGAGAGAGAGAGAAAGGGGGGCUAACGCUGGAGAGAGCAGUCAUGCUAAUUGGCUACAGUGGAUAACUUUCUGAGGCGAGGGUGAGUGUGUUUGGUGAUGGGCGGGGGGGCGAGAGGUGGGGGGCGGCGGGGGGGGGGUUUUCAGAGAAAAAGAACAGCCUGAUCUGUCAGCGUUACACUCAUUUAACGCUCCCUCCAUUUCACCUCUUUAAUGAGUAAAAUAUUCGCUCCAGUAAUGGCGAAAGACUUGAAAUUGGUAACGAUUUGUUGCUCUCUCUCACACACACACACACACACACACACACAGACCAUUAGGUGGCAUAGGGGAGGGGUGGGGCUGGAGGGAGGAUAAUGUUGGCCCGAGUGGGUGUGUGUUUUCCCCCUCAAGCCAGACAAACCAGUCCUUUAUGGAUCAUGGCAAUUUUCAGGGAUGUUUAACUCAAGGACAAAGAGCUAAAAAUAGAAGGGGUCGUGCACAACUUGGUGGGAGAAGGUGUGUGUGUGUUUCGGUGUGUGGGGGUGGCGAAGACAAGUUUUGUCGCAUUAGAUUUGGGUCAGAAAACGAGGGGGAGAGCCGACGAAGCGGAGAGCGUUGCAGACGGCGGCGGAGAUUCAUCACUCGCUGCUCGCGCUUGUCUCCUUCGACGCAUCGCCGCGACCUCUCCUGCUCACCUUUCCUCCCCCAGGAUGGCAAAACCAGUGCAAGUGGCGAACAGGUGAAGGGAAUGUAUGAAGUGAGAGGAUAAUCCACAUCUAGAUAAUAUUAACAUUUGGUGUUCCGGUACCUUGAAGUAAAAUGAGCACACACAUACUGUGGCAGACCCCAGCAGGGAUGUUUCUUUUGGUCGGAGUCCGCUCCAGUUUCAAAGAUUAUAGUUAUGCCAUUUCAUUUUGACAAACGCUGACAUACCAUUCUCUCCAAUAUUAGCUGAGAGGUACAAUACCUGUAUGGUUAGCGUAAGGGGAAAUGCGAAACGAUUAAAUUAGCAUAUAGACGGAACUCCUCGCAAGACAGCCAAAAAAAAAAUCGCAUUUCCCCAAAUGUCAAACUAUGCAUUGAAUCAAAUGGGGAGUAUGUUGAUUUACCUUCUAUUACGUGAGAGAUUGAACCAAAUAAACCUGACAGAAGUGCCUUGGUCAAGGAAAAAAAUAACUUCCUCAUCACUUCUGAGUACCUUUCUCCAGGGACAAUACAAUUCAUCUCUCGCAUUAAUAAACAACUCUUCUUCCCUCAUGUGCAUCAGACAGUCGUCCCUCUAUUACAUUCUCCACGCCUCACCCCGCAUCUGCUCUAGUCGUCCUAAUGAAGACAAAAGAAUUGGUCCCACCAAGGCUAAUUAAGAGGACUGAGAUACAGACGCGCUGACAGCCUGCCGAUGGACUCAGGAGGGAAGCGCUUAGAGCUCCCUGCCAGUCACGGGGCAUCAACGAAGCGAAUGGGAAAAGGGAUGGCGAGGGCAAAAAAAAAAACAAGCAGAGGAAGAGGAGCGGAAUAGGGGUGGGGGUAUACAGCGUAAUUGAGACUGUAAUGGGUUUUGUCAGAAGCACCUGUCAGGGUCAAGUUAAAACGAUUUUGGCGCGAGGGAGACGGGAGGGAUGGGAGAGGGGAGAAGGGGGGGGGGGGGCAAUUGGAGUCAGGAUCCCGGUGAGGAGAGGCCCUCGUCCAUGCCAACCUCACCUGAUUGCCAAUUUGUGCCAGUCUACAGACAUCAAACGCCCCCAAACACGAGCCCCGCGCAGACACACCGAAAGAGGAACGCGUUCGAUCACACUCACGCACGGACGCCGACGUCAAGCUACCCGCGCCGGGCUGAUUGGACCCAUCUAGCCACUUAACGAGGUGUCCACGGUGCCGACCCUGAGCUGCGUGAUUGGGAUAUAAAGCCGCCGCCGUUAAAUAUCUAAUUCUCCGCCCACGUCUGGAUGAAAAUAAGGCGCGGCGCUGAUUAGAUUGCAGCCUGCUGCGCCAACCCGCCGGGUCUGCGCCAUGUUCGUUACCAGCCCUCGACCCCCUCCCACCCCACCCCGACAGGUACCGUACCCGCCCCCGCCCCCCGGGCCAAUCCCAUCUCGGUUCAGGUGCUCCUGCCAACCACAAACAGCCUAUUUUGUGAUGGAAAAGCAAUUCCGACACCCUCGAGAGUUGAGGUCGAUGCCUGCGGAGUGAUGAAAUUAAGUUGAGUAAAAUGCAUUUACAAAUCAAUGUUAAAGCCGCACCUGGAAAAUUAAACAUGUGACAGCCCCCCGAACGCCAGCGGGACGCAGCUGAUUUAAAUUUAGAACCUCUGACACAAUUGAAUUCUUUUAGGGAAAUAUCAGUGAAUACCCCGCUGAGGUGAAGAGGUUCAGGCGCCGUCCUCUCGGGACGAGUGCCGUCAACUAUUUGACAGCGGAAUUUCUUCAGGCAAAUAGUAAAAAGCCCAACGUUUCCCCUUUGCUGAUGAUUGUUACGUAAAACGAAACGAAACAAAAGCCGUAGAGUGAGCGACAUUAACAUGAAGACAUUUAGCUCCAAAAAGUCAUUGCAAGUCUCAUACUAUUAACUAUGAUCUCUAAAUAAUCCCCCGGGAAGCUUUUGGGGAAUGUAACCCGGUUCACUGCCAUGGUUUGGCUUUCCUUGCAGUUAUCCUUAAUAAUCUUAAGUGUCAGGAUUUAAUACGAGUAAUGAGAGCAGCCACUUUAUGUCCGAUUCAUGUGUUCGAAAGCGGAAAAAAAUCUGCCGGAGGCCUCGGAGUUUGUGGGCUGAAGGUUAGAAGAGAUGCACAAAUCCACAUGGACACGGUGUCUUUUUUUUCAUCACCUCUGAAAGAAUCAUCCGCUCAACUCUUAAGCAACUUCUGCAGCUACUCCGGUCCAUCGCCACCUUCAGCUAACACGUGGCCUCAAAACAGAGAGGAAAAGAAAUGUAUAUGGAGUCAUGUUUUCAUUCGAUGAAAACUUUCCUAAUUGUCUUGGCGCCUGAUGCUAAAUCCCCAUCACCAAAGAAAUCAAUUCCUCUCCACUUUCUCUUCAUUGUGCUCUGCCCCCCGUUCUCCCGUCAGCCGCCCUCCCCAAACUCCCACUUGCACUGGUCGAUAGCGGAACGGGCAUCUAGCAGUGGCUUUGGUCUAAGUGAGGGAUUGAUUUUUGUGUGGGUGGGGGGCGGGGGGGGGGGGGUAACUAUGGGGCUUGAGUCACAGACCUCUUCUCUAAAAUGCUCCCUGAUGAAGUCUGUGAUUUAGUUGUGCUCAAGAACAAUACUUGUCAUUAGGGGCUGAUAGCAUUCAUUAUGAGCGACGCGGCGGCGCCACUAAUGAGGCCAAACACCUCGUUCUCCUCCAGACACAACGAAGCGCGGCCGAGGCGCACGCAGGGAGACGCCACAUCGUCCCGAUUGCAGGCUUGGGUUUCACUCUCGGGGGGCCACGUUGGCUCAUCAGAGCGCCCCGGAAGCGAAAAGUGGCUGGACGGGAGUCUUUGUUUUGGAAGCUCCGCUCAUAAUAUUUACUGAGGCGCUGGUAUUGUCAGACGCACAAUGACAGGCUCCCUCCCCCCUCACCCCCCACUCCCCCCCAUCCUCCUGUCCUCCCGUCCUCCCGGCCCCCUUCCAUCCAAAGCCGAUGAGCACAGAGCGCGUUCCCAUUGUCUGCAUUCUAGAUGCUGCUUCGGGAUUUGCGUUUGGGCCUUUGUGUGUAAAUAUAC